This 1707-nucleotide ribosomal RNA is filed under the name Escherichia coli. Its description in RNAcentral is "partial 23S ribosomal RNA". It matches the Rfam family "Bacterial large subunit ribosomal RNA", at positions 1 to 1751 of the family's 2925-position model. The record is from RNAcentral. Lineage: Bacteria; Pseudomonadati; Pseudomonadota; Gammaproteobacteria; Enterobacterales; Enterobacteriaceae.
GUUAAGCGACUAAGCGUACACGGUGGAUGCCCUGGCAGUCAGAGGCGAUGAAGGACGUGCUAAUCUGCGAUAAGCGUCGGUAAGGUGAUAUGAACCGUUAUAACCGGCGAUUUCCGAAUGGGGAAACCCAGUGUGUUUCGACACACUAUCAUUAACUGAAUCCAUAGGUUAAUGAGGCGAACCGGGGGAACUGAAACAUCUAAGUACCCCGAGGAAAAGAAAUCAACCGAGAUUCCCCCAGUAGCGGCGAGCGAACGGGGAGCAGCCCAGAGCCUGAAUCAGUGUGUGUGUUAGUGGAAGCGUCUGGAAAGGCGCGCGAUACAGGGUGACAGCCCCGUACACAAAAAUGCACAUGCUGUGAGCUCGAUGAGUAGGGCGGGACACGUGGUAUCCUGUCUGAAUAUGGGGGGACCAUCCUCCAAGGCUAAAUACUCCUGACUGACCGAUAGUGAACCAGUACCGUGAGGGAAAGGCGAAAAGAACCCCGGCGAGGGGAGUGAAAAAGAACCUGAAACCGUGUACGUACAAGCAGUGGGAGCACGCUUAGGCGUGUGACUGCGUACCUUUUGUAUAAUGGGUCAGCGACUUAUAUUCUGUAGCAAGGUUAACCGAAUAGGGGAGCCGAAGGGAAACCGAGUCUUAACUGGGCGUUAAGUUGCAGGGUAUAGACCCGAAACCCGGUGAUCUAGCCAUGGGCAGGUUGAAGGUUGGGUAACACUAACUGGAGGACCGAACCGACUAAUGUUGAAAAAUUAGCGGAUGACUUGUGGCUGGGGGUGAAAGGCCAAUCAAACCGGGAGAUAGCUGGUUCUCCCCGAAAGCUAUUUAGGUAGCGCCUCGUGAAUUCAUCUCCGGGGGUAGAGCACUGUUUCGGCAAGGGGGUCAUCCCGACUUACCAACCCGAUGCAAACUGCGAAUACCGGAGAAUGUUAUCACGGGAGACACACGGCGGGUGCUAACGUCCGUCGUGAAGAGGGAAACAACCCAGACCGCCAGCUAAGGUCCCAAAGUCAUGGUUAAGUGGGAAACGAUGUGGGAAGGCCCAGACAGCCAGGAUGUUGGCUUAGAAGCAGCCAUCAUUUAAAGAAAGCGUAAUAGCUCACUGGUCGAGUCGGCCUGCGCGGAAGAUGUAACGGGGCUAAACCAUGCACCGAAGCUGCGGCAGCGACGCUUAUGCGUUGUUGGGUAGGGGAGCGUUCUGUAAGCCUGCGAAGGUGUGCUGUGAGGCAUGCUGGAGGUAUCAGAAGUGCGAAUGCUGACAUAAGUAACGAUAAAGCGGGUGAAAAGCCCGCUCGCCGGAAGACCAAGGGUUCCUGUCCAACGUUAAUCGGGGCAGGGUGAGUCGACCCCUAAGGCGAGGCCGAAAGGCGUAGUCGAUGGGAAACAGGUUAAUAUUCCUGUACUUGGUGUUACUGCGAAGGGGGGACGGAGAAGGCUAUGUUGGCCGGGCGACGGUUGUCCCGGUUUAAGCGUGUAGGCUGGUUUUCCAGGCAAAUCCGGAAAAUCAAGGCUGAGGCGUGAUGACGAGGUACUACGGUGCUGAAGCAACAAAUGCCCUGCUUCCAGGAAAAGCCUCUAAGCAUCAGGUAACAUCAAAUCGUACCCCAAACCGACACAGGUGGUCAGGUAGAGAAUACCAAGGCGCUUGAGAGAACUCGGGUGAAGGAACUAGGCAAAAUGGUGCCGUAACUUCGGGAGAAGGCACGC